RNAcentral lists this small nuclear RNA (22 nucleotides) under Arabidopsis thaliana (thale cress). RNAcentral describes it as "snRNA_05016". The record is from RNAcentral. Lineage: Eukaryota; Viridiplantae; Streptophyta; Magnoliopsida; Brassicales; Brassicaceae.
UUGAACUCUGGAAACUUCUCCU